CUAGGUUUUAUGGUUUGGAAAUCAAGAACCCUAGAAGUUACUGAUGAAGUUAGCAUGGCCCCUGUGCAGGGAUGACACACGAAUUCGUGAAAUGUUCCAUAUUUUU
Small nuclear RNA from Rattus rattus (black rat), 106 nucleotides. Lineage: Eukaryota; Metazoa; Chordata; Mammalia; Rodentia; Muridae. The record is from RefSeq and is a predicted model, not a curated record.